Molecule: microRNA, 22 nt
Filed under: Drosophila pseudoobscura
Lineage: Eukaryota; Metazoa; Arthropoda; Insecta; Diptera; Drosophilidae
Description: dps-miR-2505
Source: miRBase by way of RNAcentral
UCGUGCACAUACAAACAUACAC